UACGGGGGGGGCAAGCGUUGUUCGGAAUUACUGGGCGUAAAGGGCUCGUAGGCGGCCAACUAAGUCAGACGUGAAAUCCCUCGGCUUAACCGGGGAACUGCGUCUGAUACUGGAUGGCUUGAGUUUGGGAGAGGGAUGCGGAAUUCCAGGUGUAGCGGUGAAAUGCGUAGAUAUCUGGAGGAACACCGGUGGCGAAGGCGGCAUCCUGGGACCAACACUGACGCUGAGGAGCGAAAGCCAGGGGAGCAAACGGGG
Molecule: ribosomal RNA, 255 nt
Filed under: uncultured bacterium
Lineage: Bacteria
Description: partial 16S ribosomal RNA
Rfam family: Bacterial small subunit ribosomal RNA
Source: RNAcentral